UGAAUAUGAUCAACAUUUCCUCAUCUAAAGAUUUUUAUCCAAGAAGAUGAGCCUUUUUUCUAUCAAAGUGAAUUGACAAUUGAACUUCACAAAAUAAAUGGAACCUUUUUCAGAAGUAAUUAACAUGAAUUCUACAUGUGUUAGUCUUAAGCCACUAGAUGUCAUCCAUCCUCUUGAUCCGGAUGAAGAAAUAUAUCAUAAUCAAGAGGCUCAAGUUUGGCCAUCAAUCAUUGUAACCCAGGUAGAACAAACACAGCUAGUAGAUGCUAGCAUAGUAGGAC
This 281-nucleotide long non-coding RNA is filed under the name Glycine max (soybean). RNAcentral describes it as "long non-coding RNA (GMAX_LNC000983)". The record is from RNAcentral. Lineage: Eukaryota; Viridiplantae; Streptophyta; Magnoliopsida; Fabales; Fabaceae.